CGGAUGUAGCCAAGGGACAAGGCAGUGGAUUGUGAAUCC
This 39-nucleotide transfer RNA is filed under the name Urtica flabellata. RNAcentral describes it as "partial tRNA-His". The record is from RNAcentral. Lineage: Eukaryota; Viridiplantae; Streptophyta; Magnoliopsida; Rosales; Urticaceae.